GGCGCGGCGGUCGCUGCAAA
This 20-nucleotide non-coding RNA is filed under the name Arabidopsis thaliana (thale cress). Lineage: Eukaryota; Viridiplantae; Streptophyta; Magnoliopsida; Brassicales; Brassicaceae. The record is from RNAcentral.